This 497-nucleotide ribosomal RNA is filed under the name uncultured bacterium. RNAcentral describes it as "partial 16S ribosomal RNA". It matches the Rfam family "Bacterial small subunit ribosomal RNA", at positions 28 to 507 of the family's 1533-position model. The record is from RNAcentral.
GAUGAACGCUGGCGGCGUGCCUAAUACAUGCAAGUCGAGCGAACGGACGAGAAGCUUGCUUCUCUGAUGUUAGCGGCGGACGGGUGAGUAACACGUGGAUAACCUACCUAUAAGACUGGGAUAACUUCGGGAAACCGGAGCUAAUACCGGAUAAUAUUUUGAACCGCAUGGUUCAAAAGUGAAAGACGGUCUUGCUGUCACUUAUAGAUGGAUCCGCGCUGCAUUAGCUAGUUGGUAAGGUAACGGCUUACCAAGGCAACGAUGCAUAGCCGACCUGAGAGGGUGAUCGGCCGCACUGGAACUGAGACACGGUCCAGACUCCUACGGGAGGCAGCAGUAGGGAAUCUUCCGCAAUGGGCGAAAGCCUGACGGAGCCACGCCGCGUGAGUGAUGAAGGUCUUCGGAUCGUAAAACUCUGUUAUUAGGGAAGAACAUAUGUGUAAGUAACUGUGCACAUCUUGACGGUACCUAAUCAGAAAGCCACGGCUAACUACGUG